Molecule: ribosomal RNA, 377 nt
Filed under: uncultured eukaryote
Lineage: Eukaryota
Description: partial 18S ribosomal RNA
Rfam family: Eukaryotic small subunit ribosomal RNA
Source: RNAcentral
CAAUAGCGUAUAUUAAAGUUGUUGCAGUUAAAAAGCUCGUAGUUGGAUUUCGGGGCAGCCUGGCUGGUCCGCCGCAAGGCGAGUACUGGUCAGCCGCCUUUCCUCUCGAAAGCCCCGACUGCUCUUCGUUGCAGUGGUCGGGUAGUUCGGGACGUUUACUUUGAAAAAAUUAGAGUGUUCAAGGCAGGCCUACGCCUGAAUACAUUAGCAUGGAAUAAUGGAAGAGGACCUCGGUCCUAUUUUGUUGGUUUCCAGGGCCGAAGUAAUGAUUAAGAGGGACAGUUGGGGGCAUUCGUAUUUAAUUGUCAGAGGUGAAAUUCUCGGAUUUAUGAAAGACGAACAACUGCGAAAGCAUUUGCCAAGGAUGUUUUCAUUAA